RNAcentral lists this ribosomal RNA (492 nucleotides) under uncultured bacterium. RNAcentral describes it as "partial 16S ribosomal RNA". It matches the Rfam family "Bacterial small subunit ribosomal RNA", at positions 29 to 507 of the family's 1533-position model. The record is from RNAcentral.
AGUGAACGCUGGCGGUAGGCCUAACACAUGCAAGUCGAACGGCAGCACAGUAAGAGCUUGCUCUUACGGGUGGCGAGUGGCGGACGGGUGAGGAAUACAUCGGAAUCUACUUUUUCGUGGGGGAUAACGUAGGGAAACUUACGCUAAUACCGCAUACGACCUACGGGUGAAAGCAGGGGAUCUUCGGACCUUGCGCGAUUGAAUGAGCCGAUGUCGGAUUAGCUAGUUGGCGGGGUAAAGGCCCACCAAGGCGACGAUCCGUAGCUGGUCUGAGAGGAUGAUCAGCCACACUGGAACUGAGACACGGUCCAGACUCCGACGGGAGGCAGCAGUGGGGAAUAUUGGACAAUGGGCGCAAGCCUGAUCCAGCCAUACCGCGUGGGUGAAGAAGGCUUUCGGGUUGUAAAGCCCUUUUGUUGGGAAAGAAAAGCAGCAGGUUAAUACCCCGCUGUUCUGACGGUACCCAAAGAAUAAGCACCGGCUAACUUCGUG